GAUGAACGCUGGCGGCGUGCCUAAUACAUGCAAGUCGAGCGAACAGACGAGGAGCUUGCUCCUCUGACGUUAGCGGCGGACGGGUGAGUAACACGUGGAUAACCUACCUAUAAGACUGGGAUAACUUCGGGAAACCGGAGCUAAUACCGGAUAAUAUAUUGAACCGCAUGGUUCAAUAGUGAAAGACGGUUUUGCUGUCACUUAUAGAUGGAUCCGCGCCGCAUUAGCUAGUUGGUAAGGUAACGGCUUACCAAGGCAACGAUGCGUAGCCGACCUGAGAGGGUGAUCGGCCACACUGGAACUGAGACACGGUCCAGACUCCUACGGGAGGCAGCAGUAGGGAAUCUUCCGCAAUGGGCGAAAGCCUGACGGAGCAACGCCGCGUGAGUGAUGAAGGUCUUCGGAUCGUAAAACUCUGUUAUUAGGGAAGUACAAAUGUGUAAGUAACUAUGCACGUCCUGACGGUACCUAAUCAGAAAGCCACGGCUAACUACGUG
This 497-nucleotide ribosomal RNA is filed under the name uncultured bacterium. RNAcentral's name for it is "partial 16S ribosomal RNA". It matches the Rfam family "Bacterial small subunit ribosomal RNA", at positions 28 to 507 of the family's 1533-position model. The record is from RNAcentral.